ACUCCUACGGGAGGCAGCAGUGGGGAAUCUUGGACAAUGGGGGCAACCCUGAUCCAGCCAUGCCGCGUGAGUGAUGAAGGCCCUAGGGUCGUAAAGCUCUUUCGCCAGGGAUGAUAAUGACAGUACCUGGUAAAGAAACCCCGGCUAACUCCGUGCCAGCAGCCGCGGUAAUACGGAGGGGGUUAGCGUUGUUCGGAAUUACUGGGCGUAAAGCGCGCGUAGGCGGACUAUUAAGUCAGGGGUGAAAUCCCGGGGCUCAACCCCGGAACUGCCCUUGAUACUGGUAGUCUUGAGUUCGAGAGAGGUGAGUGGAAUUCCGAGUGUAGAGGUGAAAUUCGUAGAUAUUCGGAGGAACACCAGUGGCGAAGGCGGCUCACUGGCUCGAUACUGACGCUGAGGUGCGAAAGUGUGGGGAGCAAACAGGAUUAGAUACCCUGGUAGCGAG
This 445-nucleotide ribosomal RNA is filed under the name uncultured bacterium. Its description in RNAcentral is "bacterial SSU rRNA". It matches the Rfam family "Bacterial small subunit ribosomal RNA", at positions 335 to 797 of the family's 1533-position model. The record is from RNAcentral.